ACAGCAAGAAGAAACAAAACCAGAGGAGAAGAAUGGAGCUGGAUUGUCUGUGAAGACCUUGUGAGGCUGCAGAGAAGCUGCACUCGUAAUGCAGAGAAUGCAGCUGGUGGAGCACUUUGAUUUAACUGUUGUUACUGAAAUCUGUGUAGCAUCAAGUGAUUUAGAGCAGGGAGUUAUCUUAGAAUUCUGGAAAGAUUCAAAAAUGCAUGUCUUUCUACUAGAUUGUAAGCUUGUCAGGGCCACAUCUGUCCUGCUUACUGCUGAAUCCCAGCUGGCAGAACGUAGACAUUUCAUAAUAUUUUUGGAGCAAAUGCAUCAAUCGGACUCUCAUGUGUAAAGGAGGGCACAGGAUGAAGGAACAGUGUGGUGACUUGGGACGCCAUGCCAUGCUGCUGCAACCAUGUCUGUCUGUGGCUGUAUGUGUGUGCUCUGCACCUCUAGAUGAACUCACCAAACAGCAUCUAUGGAAAAGCCCAUGGAACUGUCACUGCCAGGCCAAGAGAUGGGGUUUCGCCAUGUUGACCAGGCUGGUC
Molecule: long non-coding RNA, 533 nt
Organism: Cebus imitator (Panamanian white-faced capuchin)
Lineage: Eukaryota; Metazoa; Chordata; Mammalia; Primates; Cebidae
Exons: 3
Source: RefSeq, a predicted model, not a curated record